AGGGGGAUAACUACUGGAAACGGUAGCUAAUACCGCAUAACGUCGCAAGACCAAAGAGGGGGACCUUCGGGCCUCUUGCCAUCAGAUGUGCCCAGAUGGGAUUAGCUAGUAGGUGGGGUAAUGGCUCACCUAGGCGACGAUCCCUAGCUGGUCUGAGAGGAUGACCAGCCACACUGGAACUGAGACACGGUCCAGACUCCUACGGGAGGCAGCAGUGGGGAAUAUUGCACAAUGGGCGCAAGCCUGAUGCAGCCAUGCCGCGUGUGUGAAGAAGGCCUUCGGGUUGUAAAGCACUUUCAGCGAGGAGGAAGGUGGUGAGCUUAAUACGCUCAUCAAUUGACGUUACUCGCAGAAGAAGCACCGGCUAACUCCGUGCCAGCAGCCGCGGUAAUACGGAGGGUGCAAGCGUUAAUCGGAA
Molecule: ribosomal RNA, 418 nt
Filed under: Serratia nematodiphila
Lineage: Bacteria; Pseudomonadati; Pseudomonadota; Gammaproteobacteria; Enterobacterales; Yersiniaceae
Description: bacterial SSU rRNA
Rfam family: Bacterial small subunit ribosomal RNA
Source: RNAcentral